GUCUAAAUAGCUCAGGGGUAGAGCAACGGACUGAAAAUCCGUGUGUCAGUGGUUCAAAUCCACUUUUGGACA
This 72-nucleotide transfer RNA is filed under the name Flavobacteriales bacterium. Its description in RNAcentral is "tRNA-Phe". It matches the Rfam family "tRNA". Rfam says of the family: Transfer RNA (tRNA) molecules are approximately 80 nucleotides in length. Their secondary structure includes four short double-helical elements and three loops (D, anti-codon, and T loops). The record is from RNAcentral. Lineage: Bacteria; Pseudomonadati; Bacteroidota; Flavobacteriia; Flavobacteriales.